This 468-nucleotide ribosomal RNA is filed under the name uncultured bacterium. Its description in RNAcentral is "partial 16S ribosomal RNA". It matches the Rfam family "Bacterial small subunit ribosomal RNA", at positions 28 to 507 of the family's 1533-position model. The record is from RNAcentral.
GACGAACGCUGGCGGCGUGCUUAACACAUGCCAGUCGAACGGAAAGGCCCUGCUUUUGUGGGGUGCUCGAGUGGCGAACGGGUGAGUAACCCGUGAGUAACCUGCCCUUGACUUUGGGAUAACUUCAGGAAACUGGGGCUAAUACCGGAUAGGAGCUCCUGCUGCAUGGUGGGGGUUGGAAAGUUUCGGCGGUUGGGGAUGGACUCGCGGCUUAUCAGCUUGUUGGUGGGGUAGUGGCUUACCAAGGCUUCGACGGGUAGCCGGCCUGAGAGGGUGGCCGGCCACAUUGGGACUGAGAUGCGGCCCAGACUCCUACGGGAGGCAGCAGUGGGGAAUAUUGCACAAUGGGCGGAAGCCUGAUGCAGCAACGCCGCGUGCGGGAUGACGGCCUUCGGGUUGUAAACCGCUGUCGCCUGUGACGAAGCGUGAGUGACGGUAAUGGGUAAAGAAGCACCGGCUAACUACGUG